Molecule: long non-coding RNA, 750 nt
Filed under: Brassica rapa (field mustard)
Lineage: Eukaryota; Viridiplantae; Streptophyta; Magnoliopsida; Brassicales; Brassicaceae
Description: long non-coding RNA (BRAP_LNC005817)
Source: RNAcentral
UUCUAAAGAAGUCUUCUUCGCCAAACAGAUCUGAAAAAUAAAAUGUUGUUUGCGAUUUCAUACUUUGAACUCGUGUGAUGACUUGCGUGGUUUCUCCAAUCACCCAAAACUUCACCACAACAGCUACCUACUCGUUAACCACCCAGAAUCGUGAGCUUAUGAACCUUACAUAAUUUGUAAUCAAAAUCUUCAGUUUUUUUUUAUGAGGUUUGAAAGAAAAUGUACGAUAUGUGGUUUGUGUGGAUAGGAAAUGUGAAAGGGUAAGAAAAAUUGAAACUUUAGGGCAUUAACACUUUCAAUUUGGUAGUUCAUGGUGGUUGAGGUAUUGAUGUCAAUGGCAAAGUUGUAAACAUUUGGUGAAGAUGAUAAGCUAAAAGCCUUAUAGUCAAAAAAAAAAAAAAAAAAAGUAAUGGCAUUUUCUUGAAUAACUAGAACUUCUAGGGUGAAUAGGACAAAACAAAGUUUCAAAAAAAACAUAGGUUAUUUUGUGUUUAACUUGAAAUUUUGAGUCAUUUUUUAAAGAACCCCGAUUGAAAUAUGGGUAAAAUAAACAAAUCUAAAUGGGAAUUCUCUCAAAUAGACUUUUCUAAAUUUUUGUCACAAAAAUAGAUUUCAAAAACAUAAAUGACCAAAAUAGCAUUUUUUAUUUUGAAAACUUUGAUUUUUUUAAUUUUUUUAAAUUUGAAAUCCUAUCCCCAAAACCCCACUCCUCAAUUUUAAACCCUAAACCCUAAAGUCUAAACCCUAAAC